RNAcentral lists this ribosomal RNA (716 nucleotides) under uncultured marine microorganism. RNAcentral describes it as "bacterial SSU rRNA". It matches the Rfam family "Bacterial small subunit ribosomal RNA", at positions 8 to 720 of the family's 1533-position model. The record is from RNAcentral.
AGAGUUUGAUCAUGGCUCAGAUUGAACGCUGGCGGUAGGCUUAACACAUGCAAGUCGAGCGAGAAAGUAUCUUCGGAUAUGAGUAGAGCGGCGGACGGGUGAGUAAUGCGUAGGAAUCUACCUAGUAGAAGGGGAUAGCCCGGGGAAACUCGGAUUAAUACCGUAUACCUCCUAAGGGAGAAAGAGGGCCUCUCUUGAAGCUCUCGCUACUAGAUGAGCCUGCGUAAGAUUAGCUUGUUGGUAAGGUAAUGGCUUACCAAGGCUACGAUCUUUAGCUGGUCUGAGAGGACGAUCAGCCACAUUGGGACUGAGACACGGCCCAGACUCCUACGGGAGGCAGCAGUGGGGAAUAUUGGACAAUGGGCGCAAGCCUGAUCCAGCCAUACCGCGUGUGUGAAGAAGGCCUUCGGGUUGUAAAGCACUUUAAGCAGGGAGAAAAAGCAAUAAGUUAAUACCUUAUUGCCGUGAUGUUACCUGCAGAAUAAGCACCGGCUAAUUCCGUGCCAGCAGCCGCGGUAAUACGGAAGGUGCAAGCGUUAAUCGGAAUUACUGGGCGUAAAGCGCGCGUAGGUGGUUUGUUAAGUUGGAUGUGAAAGCCCUGGGCUCAACCUAGGAACUGCAUCCAAAACUAACUCACUAGAGUACGAUAGAGGGAGGUAGAAUUCAUAGUGUAGCGGUGGAAUGCGUAGAUAUUAUGAAGAAUACCAGUGGCGAAG